UUGUGCUUCCUAUUUGUAGUAGUUAGUUUCUUCCUCUUUGUCCACAUUAGUAUGCCGAGGAAAGAGCGGCGGUCAGGCGUGGCAUACAUCCACAAUGACAAAGACCGUGAUCUCACCUUCUACAAGCGACGUUCCGGUUUGUUCAAGAGGGCGACUGACAUCUCUGCCCUCACUAGGGCUAGGGUUGCGGUCGUCCUAGAAACAAACAAUGGAAAGAUGCACUCAUUUGGGACGCCAUUGGCCGAUCCCAUUGUUGAUGCUUUCCUAUUUGGAGCUCCACCAGCAGUUACCUCUGCCGACGAGGCAACCACUGCCAGGAUUGGAAGCCUACAAAACGAGGUGGCUCAGUUGGACAUGGAGAACAUGACCGAGGAAGACAAAAACCAACUUUCCAUCCUUCGUAUGAAAAAUAUCCAAGAAGAGAAUCCAAGUAUGGUGGCAAAUCUUAUCUUCACGAAGGAAAAAGAUCUCAGUCUUGAAGAUCUGACCAAGCUCUUCAGUGAGCUCUCUCGGGUCCAAAAAGACAUUAGAUUGCGGCUACCUCCAUUGCAUGGUCGUGAAGACAUGACCGGUGGCACAUGUGUGGCACAAGCUCUGCAACUACCAAGUGCUGAGGAUCAUUUGGGUACUACUCAUUCACUUAUGCAGUCGUCGUGGCCUCACAAUCACUCACAACUCCAGCUACCUUCAGAUCCACUACCAUCACAACCAGAACAAACUUCGGCACCACCUUUUCCUAUGCAGGAACCACAAAUGUUCCAUUCUGCACCACCAUCUUUAGCUCCCUACUUGGCUUCCCAUGUCCAACCCAUACCAAAUCAGGUACAUGAGCAAACUCCACCAGAGGAGUUGCAUGUUCAGAACUAUGAAAGUCCUUGCAACAUAGUGCAACCACAACAAAAUGAUGCAAACCAUGACUCAACAUAUGGGCAAAAUUUGGAGGCCUCUCCACUAUUGGGGUACUCGAGUGGCAAUGCUUUUUCUAUUGAUGGCCCAUUUAACACUGAACAAUGGGGUUAUGCUCUAUCAGAUCUGUCGUGCUACAAUAGUUUCCUAGGGAUGGAUGCUUACUUAGGCUCUAGCAAUACGGAUCUAGGACAGUCUUCCAUGGUAAAUGGUGGCUGGGUUGAUGUGCCGCCCUCUUCCACUGGACAAGAUAUUGAUAUUCUUACAGACUAUGGAGAGCUGUUGUAGAUGCUAGUUAGCGCUUCCAUGUAAGAGCUAUAUUGAAAUAAAAUAUAUUUAUUUCCAAAUUCAUUAUCCUUUGGACUACUAUCUUAAUUAGGAUGUUUGGAAAAAUAUGCAUGCUCAGUGUUCCAGGUCUUGGUCCAUGAUGUUUUUUCAUCACUACGUACAAUUCUUUUUGUUGUUGUUUAGAUCAUUGUAUCUUACGAAUGAAGGAAGUGGAACAUGUAUUUACAACAAUGCACCUAUCAGAAUAUUGUGAGGCAAACAUUAGCGUGUCAACUAAAAAUAGAAGCCAUGCUCAUUAAAUAAUUAAAUUAAAAGAAAGCAUAGUCCAAACUUCAACACAGGAGACUAGAAUCCAUUACUUUUUCUGGUUGCAUAACACUACCAAGAACAACAACUGCAUCUCAUAUAUGAAUUAAUGAAUAUGAGAAAUCAAGGUUUUCUUAAUAGACGUGAAUAUGCCUUAUCAAGAAAUUAGAACCAUAAUAGACAUGUGAAGAGAUGGUGGCCACCUGUGAUCCAUUGAUACCACAUAUGCACCAUUAACAACAUUGAAAAGCACCGUGGAUCUAGGGCUCUCCAUGAAUAUAUUGUAAAUUGACUUAAUUUUAAAGUAUAUCAUUAAUCAUUGCAAUUACAACAAACUUAAAAGGACAUAAUGACCAUCUCAUAGAAGACGUCAGUUAAUCAACACAUGUAGCCACUUUUAUAGAAGAAUAAUCUAAAUAUAGAACUCACAUAUAACUUAUCAUAAAUACUAUUCUUUUUGGUGGAUGGAAUGCAUGAGCUUUUGUAAAUAACUAAUCUAAGAAUAGUCAUGGUGACAAGAUAUAUUGUCAUUAGUUAAAACAACAUGUAUCUGGCUAAAAACAUGAAAAAGAAACACCUAAUCUCAGACUUCCGCAUGUCAUAGUUUCAAUGAUCAAGUAUUAAUUUUUAUGAUACAACAUGACCUUCAUGUUUAACAUAACACCAAGCUUGGAGAGAUAAUGUUUAAACUAGAUGCACAUCGUACUUAAGAAGACAUACACUUCUGGUGCCAACAUAUAAAGGCACUUCAAAUAUUAAAAUCACAUCACACUUAUUAUAAACCUGACUUAGACUGGAUGGGGUAAUAUCAUGUACUACUAGAGAGUGGCCUAUAACCGACACUCCAUUCAUGACGGGCUUGUAGGUAACACAUCGUCAAACCGUCUUAAUACUCAUCAAAUGCAAGUUUGCUAUCACUAACAGGUGAUUUUGCGGCGCUCAGUGACUGGUAGAAAUCACUAAUUGUUUUGCGGUUGUCACUUUUAAAAUACAAAGAAUUCACCAGAACUACAUUUCAUUAUUACAAAAAGAGAGGGGAAAUCAUAACUAUAUAAAGAGAGGGGAAAUCUUAGUGGUACUUAGCGUGGUUGAAUUACAAAGGGAAGUUUUUUACGAGUGACAAUAGUCUUGUACUACAUAUGUUUAUUUAUUUUCAUUUUCUUUGUGAUACAUAUGUACAAGGAGGGAAUAGAAAAAAAGGAAACACUAGCUAGCUAGUGUAAUUAUACAAAUCUUUCCACUUAAGCCUCAAAAUGUAGAUAACUCUUAUGUUAAAAUAGAGAGACGGGGGGUGAAGAAUAACUAUUCGUUAUCUAGUGUGACGAAUAGUCGAUCCCCAAAUUGAUCAGCAUUAAAAAAUGUUCAUGUAAUGUAAAAAAGUUAUUGGCAUAGUUUGUAGAGAACAUUCACAAUAUUCAAAAAACGAUUAUCAUAUUUCAAAGAUGUUCAUGUGUUUAAACAUAAGUCUGCGGCAUUUUAAAAAACAAUUCAUACAAUGUUAAUUUUUUUUUGUGUAAUCUUCAAAAAAUGUUUCAUACCAUUCAAAAAGGUUCAUGAAUUUGAAGAAAUUUCAAUAGCACUUAAAAACUGUUUGCACGACUAAAAAUGAUAUUCAUGGCAUUUAUGGAAAAUGGUCAUUGUGUGUUUAAGAAAAUUUCACAUUGUAUUUUAAGAUGUUUAAUGUACAUUUGUCAAAUGUUCAAUGUAUAUUUAAAAAAAUAAUACUCAAAUUGUAUUUGGAAGAUGUUUAACAUGUAUCCAAAUAUGAUCAACAUGUAUAUGAAAUUUGUCAACAUGUAUUUAAAUACUGUCAACGUGUAUUUGAAAAAUGCAAAAGAAGGAAAGGAAUGAAAACAUAAAUUCAAUAAAGAGACUGACGAAAACCAAUAGAGAAAACACACAGGAAGUAAAAUUGAAGUAUGCAUAGAAAACACCGAAAAACAAAAAAAAUCACUCGAAAGGUUGUAAAACAAGUUAGUUUUUGAGAAACUGGUUCUAAAACAAGUGUGUGCCACUUUGUACAACCUUUCCAAAUCUGGACCAUUGGGCCCACCCACUAAGGUGGGCUCAGAGGCGAGCUCAGGUUAUAUCUCGCUGACCUUUUCUCGGUUGUACAUAUCUAUUUUUGAGCUGUUUACUUCUCCCUCCGUCCCAUAGCAUAGGACGUUUUUUGACAUUAGUGUAGUGUCAAAAAGUUUCUUACAUUAUGGGACGGUGGGAGUAGAAAACUAACUAUAAGUUCGCCCACAAUUGCUGACAAAUUUCACUCAUUUUCACCAUCUUUUGAAUAAUUUUAAUAAAUGCUUCCAGUUUGAAAAAUAAUUCAUGCAUUUUAAGAAUGUUAGCAACUUUAUAAAAUGUAUUGUGUAUUUAAAAUAAAUGUUUAGGAUAAUUUAAAAAUGCUCAUCAAGUUAUAAAUAUUACCCUAUUAAAAAUAAUUCAUGAAAUUUUAGAAUUUCUCAAACUAAAAAGAUCAUGCUUUAAAAAAAAUAUUAUUAGCAAACUAAAAAAUAUUCGUGAAUUUGUGAAAUAAACUCUACCUGAAUGGUCCAGCAUGCAUGCCUCUUCGGUGAGUUCUAGUAGACCAAGAUUGUUCCAAAACUCCCUUGCAACAUUACAUUCAAAUAGCACGUGCUUUAUAUCUUCAUAAUACCCUGAGCACAUUGUACACAAAUAGUUAUUCGUUACAAUAUUUGCGUAUGCUAUGUAUGUCAUUUGGAGAAGCUUAAAAACAUAUUAUACAAUGAAUUAGCUCUUAGCCUAACAAGCAACGUUUACAUGCUCCUAAAUAAAUGCGAUGGUUAAAGUUAAACUAGAAAAUAUGUAGCUAAGAGAUGACAUCUAGUACAAUGGAUAGAAUUGUCCUAUCUUCUUUACUGACAGACCAUCUCUUAGGUAAGAGAUGGCAAACCUUUACGUCCUCCAUUCUCUCUCUUCUAACUCAGUAGUGAUCUUAGGUGACAUUGUGAAGAUAGCACCAUUGUACACGCUCUAACAUAGCUAGCUGAUGUAGGAUGCACUGAUGAUGGCCCAUGUGACUCAAAACGACAACAGAUGUAUCAUUGGUAGUGCCAACGGUACCUGUCAUUGUUGGCACCGACAUGUCGAAGUACUACCGGUGAAAUAUUUUAUUCUAGGGUUAUAUUUUGGACUUUAAUAAAAAAAUAAUGUUUAAAAUAUCCCUCCAAAUGACAGGGAGUAUCUUGCUUGUGUCUGUCUAGUGGCCCCACAACCACCCGAAAUCAGAAGGGAGUACCUCGCUUUGUACACCGCCUAACCAAAGAGCGCCAUCAAGUAUUAAUGCGCCAUAGAGAAAGACAUCCAUUUAUUCGCGUUAGAUGAGCCCGAUUUAAUGUGUAACUUGCCGUACCUAGAGCCAUCCACCCUAUAUGGACCAGAUAUCAUCGAACACCUUGCUUUAUGUCCGGUUGUCCAACCAAACUAUACCAUCAAGUGUUAAUGAGCCCUAGAGAAAGACAUCGAUAUAUUUGUGCAAGUCACCAUUUUAGCAUGGAUUAAUGUGCAUGUGGCUCCGUAUCAGGAGCUGCCCACCUCAUAUUUUCGGACAACCUAAUCGAAAAGUGGAAGUAUUAAAGAGCCAAAAAGAAAGACAUCGAUUUAUUUGUGCUAGUCACCGUUUCAGUUUGGAUUAAUGCACAUAUUACCAGCAGCCAUCCGCCUUGAAUCGGCAGGGAACCACGGAGUACCUUGCUUCUGUCUGGUUGUCUGGCCGAAUAGUACCAUCAAUCAUUUGUUGUAGAUAAAUACACCAAUUUAUUCAUGCUAGUCACCAGACAGAUGAAUACAGGCCAAGAGUCGUCCCCUUAAAUUGAAAAGGAGCACAUUUCUUCUGUGUGGCUAUCCAACCGAAUAGUAUCAUGCAUUAUUAAUGAGCCUUGGAGAAAUAUAACGAUUUAUUCGUGCUUGUCACCAUUUUAGCUUGUAGUAACAUGCAAAUGGCAACGUAAUGGGAGCCGCCCAUUUCUAAUUGGUAGGAAGAACCUCGCUUCUAUCCAGCUACCCAGCAGAAAAGUGUCAUCAAGUAAUCGCGAGCGAUAGAGAAAGCCAUCAAUUUAUUCAUGCUAGUCACAAUUUUAGCCCGGACAUCGAACCAAUAGGAACCAAGGAGGACCUUGCGUCUGGUUAUCUAGGAGAACAAUAUUGUCGAGUAUUAACAAGCCCUAGAAAAACAUCAAUUUAUUCAUGCAGUUGAUAUGUCCUAUACGUAUCUGGAAAUUUUUAUUGUUUCAUGCUAUACUUAUAUCAUAAUGGCAUAGUAUUGGUAUCAACUUUUAUAGUUUUUCUUGAUUAACCUAUUAAUUCAGUGCAAAGUGCCAUUUGUUCUUUUUUUGGAUUUAAAAAAAAUCAACUUUCCAGGGACCAAAAAACAAGAAAAAAAAUACUAAAUGUCAUGAAGAAAUGAAGCCGGAGGGACCUAGACCCACCUGGUCCCCCCUAGGCCACAUGCCACAGGUCGGCACGAGCAUCCAAGGGGGAGCAUGGACGCCAUAGAAGUUGCCUCCAUUGCAUCUUUCUUCCGUUGCCUUUAUAUACUCUCGAAAACCCCAGAAAUAUUAACAAAGUAUUUUUGCGCCGCCCACCUCUCUGCUCGGGGGAGAUCCAAUCAGGAGGCAUUUUCAGGUACUCUACCAAGGGGGAAUUAAUCACAAAGAUCAUUUACAUGAACAUUCCUGCCACUGUGUUCAUGUGUGAGCUGUCCUUUUUGUACAAUGGGAACAUAACAUUUUUUCCAUUAUAAGAUGGCAUCAGCCUACGUCCUAAUAAGUUAGAUGAAACACUUUUUCUUAUAAUGGCAAUGGUGGGUAAUUAUUUCACUUAAAACUAAUCUAAUGGUUAUAAAUAUUUAGCCUAUUAAAUAUACAGUCGGAUGUUUUUGAUUUUUGAGAGAUCUUCUAGCUUUUUUAUCUUUUUUUCUGGUGAGCCCGUCAAUUACUUUUAAUAUAUAAUACAUAGACAAUUAGUUGUUUUUAUUUUUGAGUUAUUUUCUAGCAUUUUUAUCCUUUUCUGGUGAGCCUGUCAAUUACUUUUUAUACAUAAUAGAUUAGGUUGUGUUGGAUCCUUCCAGAAAAAGCCUUACACAUAUUAUUUUAUGGGCCAUAAAAAACUAGGGCCCAAGAUAUACAUGUGUAACCGAUAAAAUAACAUCUUCCGCGGGAACUGGGCUUAUCAAGGAGGCAGGUCGAUGCUCCGAGUAACAUAUGUGUUAUACCAUGACUUACCAAAUGUCCUAGUAUUUUCUAGUUUCUCUUAGUGUAUCUUUCCUGGUUGGUAUCUCAAUUUCUAAGUUAAGCCCCAAAGCAAGGUCCAUGUUAUACUUGGAUAUUAUGGAUUAAAGGACGACCACUUCUAGAUUAGGUAGUUCCUAGUACAGGACAUGGAUGUAAUCAAUGUGAUCACUCAUACAUUAGGAUGUAAUCAAUGUGAUCAACAAAGGAUUUGGAUGCAAUUAACAACCAAAUAAAUUUGAUCACAAUUAUUUUGUAUAUUAGAGUAAAACUUAGUUGGGUUUAACUCCCAUUAAUACUUCUAGAUAAGGAUAUGGAUGUGGUCAAAUGGCAAUCAUUUAAUAUUUCUAUUUUUAGAAGUGUUAAUAGUUCUAAAUAUGGAUGUGAAUACUUACAUCAGAAGAAAUACAUAUCAGUGAUUGCAAAGAAGGAUGUGGAUGCACUCACAUAUGUAUAUUUGGACGAUAGUUAAUAGUAUCCAUAAAUAGCACUUUUUAUGAGUUAUGUAUGUUAAUUUUUACUAAAGAUUUACAUGAUCUUUGUAUAGUCAAAUAGCACUGCCAUACAAGCCUUUUAAUUCUAUAUAAGGGGAGUACAUCUUCUCAUAUCCUACACCAAUAUGUGGUUAGCCAACAGUACCCCUAAAUCUCUAGUUUUCUGUAGAUCCUUGUGCUUCCUAUUUGUAGUAGUAAGUUUCUCCUCUUUGUCCACAUUAGUAUGCCGAGGAAAGAGCGGCGGUCACACAUGCAAUACAUCCACAAUGACAAAGACCGUGAUCUCACCUUCUACAAGCGACGUUCCGGUUUGUUCAAGAGGGCGACUGACAUCUCUGCCCUCACUAGGGCUAGGGUUGCGGUCGUCCUAGAAACAAACAAUGGAAAGAUGCACUCAUUUGGG
Molecule: long non-coding RNA, 7643 nt
Filed under: Triticum aestivum (bread wheat)
Lineage: Eukaryota; Viridiplantae; Streptophyta; Magnoliopsida; Poales; Poaceae
Description: long non-coding RNA (TAES_LNC018648)
Source: RNAcentral